AACUGUGGGUCAGAUAACAACUUCACCGGAAACGACGGUCGGAACUUCGUCGGUGACCGCUACGCCGGCGUUUCUUUCUUUAAAGGAAAAACCGGCACUAAACGAGAAACCACCUCCACCGUAUCCCAACUUUAUUGGACUGUGAGAAUCUAUUCACAGCCAUCGUUUUACGAGUUCAUAAUCAAAACAAGCGGCACUUACUUUGUACGUCUCCAUUUCUUUGUUCCUUCAUCUUCUGAUAAUCUGUACAACGCUAAGUUCACCGUUUUAGCUUCAGGGUUCGAGACCGUUUUAGCUUCAGGGUUCGAGCUUUUAUCGAAUUUCUCCGUCAAAAAUAGCCCUGUCGGUUCGCCGGUCAUCAAGGAAUUUUUAGUCGAUAUUAAUGAAGGAAGAUUCAAAAUCAACUUCAUACCUUCUCAAGGUUCAAACAUAGCUUUUGUAAACGCCAUUGAAGUGUUUCUAACACCGGAAAGCUUCGUCCCCGACACCGCUCCCCUCGCCGGACGUCGUCGAGGCUCGUUCGACGGUUUACGGUCUCGGGUUUUACAUACAGUCUAUAGGAUCAAUGUCGGAGGGGCUACUAUUACAACAGAUGAAGAUACACUGUGGAGGAACUGGAUACCUGAUGAUCAGUUCUUGUCUGAUCCGAAAAGUGCUAAGAACAGUUCGUUUUUCAAUGGUGAACCUGCAUACACAUCUGGUCGUGCCGAUGAAUACACUGCCCCAAGCCUUGUUUAUAAGACUGCAAAGCAAUUGAAUGUAGAAGAUAACACUAGCAGGCAAUUUUUCAAUAUAACAUGGAGUUUCAAUGUGAGUAAAAGUUCAAGACACUUUGUUAGGUUCCAUUUCUGUGACAUUGUUAGUCCAUCAAUUGAUUCUGUCAUGUUUGAUCUUUACAUUUACGAUAAAUUUGACAAGGUGGUUUAUCCGUAUAACGAAACCGGACAGUUAGAGGUUCCGUUUUACUUCGAUUUCGUGGUGGAUUCGGACAAAUCCGGGGUCAUGAACGUAAGUGUCGGCCCUCGGAAUGAUUCCGAGGAUCAAAGGGCGUUUUUGAAUGGGAUUGAAAUAAUGGAGUUCAUGAAGGAAUCCAGCUUUGUUGUGCGCCAAGAGAGGUCUAAAAAAAGGACUAAUUUAGUUCCUAUAGUUGGCUCUGUUGUUGGGACUGUUGUAUUUGUUGUUGUUUUUAUAGUGGCACUGGUUAUGUUCUCGAAAUUCAGGAAAAGAAAGCCUUUGUCUGAAAAAACAUCCAACAUGUCUCCUUUGGAUCUUGCUCUUAGAAUAUCUUAUUACGAAAUCGAGCACGCAACGAAGAAUUUCGAUUCUGGUUUAUUGAUCGGAGAAGGUGGAUUUGGGAGAGUGUACGAAGGUUUGUUUCGUGGUAAGAAAGUGGCUGUUAAAAGGAGCGAACCAGGGCAUGGCCAAGGCCUAUUGGAAUUCCAGACAGAGAUUGUUGUCUUGUCCCGAAUCCGGCAUCGGCAUCUCGUUUCUUUGAUUGGUUACUGCGACGAAAGAUCGGAAAUGAUAUUGGUUUAUGAGUUUAUGGAGAAGGGUACUCUUAGAGAUCAUCUAUAUAAUCAAAGUUCCGAUGUUGAGAAACCGUAUAUUGCUCGGUCCGACUUGUCUUGGAAGCAAAGGCUUGAAAUCUGUAUUGGUGCAGCAAAAGGGCUUAAUUAUUUACACACUGGUUCAGAUUGUGGAAUCAUUCACCGCGAUGUUAAGUCCACGAACAUCCUACUCGAUGAACAGUUAGUAGCCAAAGUUGCCGAUUUUGGGGUCUCGAAAUUUAACCUUCCGGACGAAGAACAUAGUGUUGAUGUCAAAGGAACGUUUGGUUAUCUCGACCCCGAAUACUUCUUAUCGCUGCAAUUGACGGAUAAAUCCGACGUGUACUCUUUCGGGGUCGUACUUCUCGAAGUACUUUGUGCGAGGCCAGCGGUUAUGGCAUCGAAUAGGAGGGAAGAAGUGAACUUAGCUGAAUGGGGAAUGCUUUGGUUGAGGAAAGGUCAACUCGAGAAGAUUAUCGAUCCGAUGCUAGUUGAUACAAUCAACCCCAACUCGUUAAGGAAGUUCGUCGAGACAACCGAGAAGUGUUUAAGACCGUCCGGUAACGAAAGACCGAUGAUGCGAGACGUGUUGUGGGAUUUAGAAUACGCAUUGCAGCUUCAGUUAAUUCCGAUGAACAAUGGAACAUUCGAAGACAGUACGACUAAUGUUUCCUUAGAAUUCUCAAUGACGCCUGUCCUCCAUCGGUUACCUUCAAAUAGCUUCCCGGCCGUUGAGGAAGAAGGUGCGGCCUUACUAUCCGUUGAUGCUUCCGAUGUAUUCUCAUUAUUGAGUGUUGGUGAGGCUAGAUAGUCUCCACUGGUUUAAAUGUUGAUAAGCGCUACAUUUUGUAAGUACUAUUCUUUUGGUAAAAUGACCUCUCCGGUCCCUCUCAAUUCCAAUAUCAAGUAAAUUAGUCCCUCUAAAAAAAAUUGAACAAUUUCAUUUUUGUGAAAUUUGAAAUUGAACAACUAAGCGUCAUUAAUCACAUCAUUAAUUUUUUCAUCAAAUCUACCUAUAUUAAUUUAUAAUUUUAUUAUUUUAGAACGCACUAAACAAAUAUUUUUUAUCCAAAAGAAAACCAAACAUUUUUAAUUUCUAGGACCAAAACUUCUGCCUAACCUUAUAUUCGUCCCUGCCAUUUUUCUGAAUUAUUUUACCAUCCCACCUUUUUCUUUUGGUUUGUUGUCAAUGAAGAAUACAUGCGAUGGAGACAUUUGGGAUUUGAGAAAAAUUGAAGAAAAAAAAAGGUAAAAGCUGCUCAACUGAAGCAACUUCAAGAAGUGGAGAUGUUUGUUGACCUUUAUAUACAAAAUAGUUAAAAACGAGAUUAAAUUUUCUGACAAUUUACUUUAAUUAAUAUAAAUGUGACUUAUAAUAAUUUAGAACCUGAACUUGACACUUUUUCUUAAUUUGAUAUUUAAAUUUAAUUUUUUUUAAGUUGGUACUUAAUCUUUUUCGGGGUCUAAUUUGGUACAUGAAAUUGACUCUUUUUCCUAAUUUGUUAUCUAAUUUUUUUUGUUUAAUUUGAUACUUAAAUUUGUCAAACAUUCUACAAAUUAUUUCAAUAUACUAACAAUGUUUUAUGAGGUAAAAAAAAUAUCAAAUUUAAGUACCAAAUGUUAUAUUAAGCCUAAUUAUAUGUAUAAAUAAUUUUUUGUUCUUUUGUUCUAUCAAUACUUUUUUUCUUAUGCGAUUUUCAUCUAAAGCAUAAAUAAUUAAUAAUAAUAAAAUGGAAAGUGAAAGUGUAGAACAAUGAUGCCAAUUACUGCUAAAUUCUAUCACGUAAGCUGUCCUUUUUUUAGUAAAUAAUUAAAAUAAUUAGCAAAGCUGCUAAAAAAAAAAACUUGACUUAAGGGGCAUGGUGGAUCCAAUUUUACCUUUUCAAAAGUAUCUUUUUUAUCAAGAAAAAGCAGCCAUGGAGCCAACUAAGAGCACACCUGCAAGCUCUUAAGAGAUUUAUUAAAAGUUAAAAUGUUAGUCCUUGUAUUUUGAUAAAAUUUAUAAUUUAGUCUCUAUUUUUGUUUUUUAUUUUAAAAAUUUGAGUCCGAUGGUUAGUAUUUUCUGUCAAAUUUUAUUAAGUUGAUAUAUGUUGAUGUUCUCAUAUGAUAUGAUAUAUAAUUCACAUAAUUGUUAAUAAUAGGAUUAAAACUUUUGAACGACCAUGAUGAGUACAAAAUAUGCAAAAAAAAAAAAUUAUGAUAAUCCUAUAAUCUUUUAUAUAUCAAAUGUACUAAAAAUUAAACCCUUAAAACGACGUUAUAGAGACCAACAACCACAAAUCCUAAAUACAGGGGAAAUCUGAAGGGGCAUGCAAGGCCUUGGCCCCCCUCAAAUGAAUAAAUUACUAUUCAAGUCUCAUAUAAAAUGAUUAAAUUAAAAAUAAAGUUAUGAUAAAUUUGCACUUUGCCUCUCAAAAUGAAGAAAUUAUAAAUUAAUACCUUCAAAAAUUAUGUUUUGAUUUCUCAAAAGUUUAUUAUUCGAUUUUGAUCCUCCUUAAAAAAGAUUUAUGGAUUCGUCUCUACCCAAACAUAAACCGCAAAACAAACAUAGUUGAUAAAAAUAAUAAUUAAGAUUGUAAUCGCUAUUAAAACCUUAAUUAUUGCAAUUAGGCUUUUUAAGGUAAAAAGAAAAAGUUGAAUGAAUUUAGAUCUUUUCCCAUACAUUAUUUUCCUUUUAAUUAUAUAUCAAUGGGGGAAAGAGAGGUUAUGAAGAAAAAGGAGUUGCAUUGUUUAGUAAUUACUACAAAGUAAAGGGACCACAUUAAACAAUGUACAAAAAAAUCUUUUUAAUCUUGUAUUUAUUAACACUUUUGUUUAUUUCCCUUAAUUCUAUUAUCACGAGAUCUGUAAAUCUGCCAUAAUAAAUAUUUAAAAAUAUUAUAAAAAAGAAGAGAAAAAGAUGAUAAUGAUUAUGAUGAUGGAUUACAUAAUGCAAGUCCCAUAUGUGAACAAGAUUACAUAUUUAGAUCUUAAAAUUCUGGGAUGGAAAAGGGGAACAAAAUCCCAAGCUUCCUACAGUGUUAUCAAACUUAAAUGGGUUAAUAUAAUUUUAGUCCCUAAACUUGGUAAUUAAGGUCACUUUAGCACUUUUAUUUUUUUAUUCAUUUUGAUAUCUGAAUUGGCAAUGAGGUUCGUUUUGAUUUUUGAAUUUGAGAUACGUAAAGAUUUGAUGACGAGAUACUUUGAGAUUAUGGCACGUCAUUAAAUCUUUAUAAAAUUCAAGUUCAUUGAUUAAAAUGAACCAAACAAAAAGUACAUGUACCAAAACAGAAUUAAUUGACAAUUCUGGGGACUUAAAGCUAUAUUAACCGACUUAAAUGUGGCUUUCUUCCUACAAAGGUUCAAUUAUGCCUUCAGUCCUAUGCUUCUGGACUUUUGAAAUUUGAUCCCUUUGCUUUGAAAAUUAAAGCGUUAUGGAUUUCUAUUAAAUUUGAAUUGUUGUAUUAUAAUAUUUAAAAGUUUUUAUUUAAAAAUUAAAGUUUAAUUAAAUUUAAUAGAAUUCAGCUAACAGUACUCAGUCGGACUAUAAUUUUUAAACUAGAUAAAUAAAAAAAUUAGACAAUGUUAGAUCUAUAUCCUAAUAAAACAACAAAUUAUAGGGACCAAAUAUAUCAUUAUGUAAUAAAACAUAGCUAUGGAACUCUUUAUCAGCUUGUCUAGUGCCAAAAUGAGGACAAUUUAUAGGGGAAUCAAUUAUUGAAAAUUUCUCUUAAAACACUCUUACGUAGAUCCGUUUUAUCAAAAGCAGUUCUUUUCGAUAAAUAAUACAGAAAUUAACCUAUUUUCAUAAAUAUAUUUAGAAAUAGGACUUUUUAAGUAAAUCAAUUAUUUUUAUGCCUAAAAAAAGAUUCAAUUUAAAGUGAUAAACCAUACUAUUUGGACUGCCCCACGAAUAAUUCAUCAUUCCUUUAAUAUCCCCUUAAAUAUUUGCAAUCAUGUAAAGAUGAGUUUGAAUAGGUGCUAAGUUUAGUUACGAUUAAUGUAAAAAUAAUAGUAAUGAUGAAAUUAAAUACUAUAAUAAUAAUAUAACGUGAGACAAAAAAAUAAAUUAAACACACCACCCUUAAUCAUUCAUUUAAACCCAAACUAAGGGCUCUUUUGGUUUGGCUUUUAACAUCAGUGAGGUGCAGUUGGGGUAGCAACCUCACUGAUAUGUUGUUUGGUUCAGCAAUACAGUGCAGUGAAAGUUGAUUUCAACCACACUGCUACGAUGAAAAGGAGUUAGAGGUUUCAGCAACAAUUGAAGGCAGUGGGAUAGUAGGUAUUUUUAACAGACAAAAACACUAUUACUUUUAUUUAUUAUUUUACCAUUUUAUCUUUGAAAGUUAAACUAAUUUAUUUCCCAACCUUAUUUGUAUCACAUUACAAAAACAAAAAUUUAAAUACUUAUACCUAAUAAAACGUCUUUCUCAUUACAAUAAUAGUUAUUUUCCAAAUAACAUAUUGUUUUAUAAUUUUAUUUCUUAAUUAAUAUUUUAAUUUAAUUUUAAUAAUGCAUACUUUAUAUAAUCAUAUUAGUGAAUCUGCUAACACAUACUUCAUCCGGGUAAAGUAUGCAUUUUAAUAACACAUGAAAAAUAAUGUUACUAUUUGUGAAAAUAAUAUUUAUCAUUGUUAUAAAAGAGUAUUUAACUAUAAAAAAUUAAAAAUAAUUAUCAUUUUAUCUAAAAAAUAAUUUAAAUUGAUUAUAUAAUUAAUUAAAAUAUUUAUAAUAAAAUAUUAGAAAAUACAUUUUAAUAUUUUAUUAAACGAAUUUUUUAUUCUCACCUCACCGCUACAGCUGCGUUUGAAUCCAAACACACACUCUACCAUUGUUUCUAAUCUCACCACUACAGUAUUUAAUCUCAAGUAACUAAUAUUACCGCCACUACUAUUUUUUAUUCCACCGGAAGUAAACACACCGCCUAUCUAAACUAAGCCUAAUACAUUUUAUUGAUAUAUAAUUUUAAAAAAGAACGAAAAUGAUUACUCUACAACAUAUAAAUUACCUUAAUGCAAUCCAUUUAUUUAUUAUAAUAUGAACGCUAUCAUAUCAAUCAAUCGUGUGUUUUAUAUUCCACCUUUUAAUAAAUUUCCCACUUCAAAGGAAUCCAAAGUCCAACAGCUGCCACUAUCUUUAACCUUUUUUAAAAAAAAAUAUUUUUUAUAAUUUUCUAGUUUAAUUAUGCAUAUCCUCAAUUGACCCUUCACCACCUUUAUUCUCUUUUAAAGUGUUCAUCGAAAUUGGCCUGCAAAAAUUAAAAAAGAGCUCAUAAUCCUCUUCUAUGGAAAACCUUAUAAUUAUUUUCCUUAUUCUUCUGCCAUUCUCAUCAGCUUAUACACGUCCUAACGAGCACUUCAUCAACUGUGGGUCAGAUUUCAACUUCACCGGAAACGGCAGUCGGAACUUCGUCGGUGACCGCUACGCCGGCGUUUCUUUCUUUAAAGGAAAAACCGGCACUAAACGAGAAACCACCUCCUCCGUAUCCCAACUUUAUUGGACGGUGAGAAUCUAUUCACAGCCAUCGUUUUACGAGUUCAUAAUCAAAACAAGCGGCACUUACUUUGUACGUCUCCAUUUCUUUGUUCCUUCAUCUUCUGAUAAUCUGUACAACG
Molecule: long non-coding RNA, 7142 nt
Filed under: Gossypium barbadense (sea-island cotton)
Lineage: Eukaryota; Viridiplantae; Streptophyta; Magnoliopsida; Malvales; Malvaceae
Description: long non-coding RNA (GBAR_LNC001800)
Source: RNAcentral